AUACAAGCACACCAGGUCUGGUAUAACUGUGCAGCCUCUUGCCUCCACAGCAUCCAUCUCCCUCGGGCAGCAGAUGGAUCUGGGCAUUCCAUUCCUCCCAUGCUGUUCCACAGGGAUUCUUCCCUGGCUCAGCUGUGGUUUUGAGGCGCAUUUUGCCAAAAGGUUCCUUUUGCUUGACUUCAAUACAAGAGGAGGUGGCAACUGACAGCAGGAUGUGGUGUUUGUUAAACACUGAGCUCAAAUAACAAAUAUUGGACUCAGCAGUGUUUUGUCGUGGUUACAAGAAGAAGGAAAGAUGUGAAAAGAAGUUCUCUUGACCUAUUUGGUAAAUUGUCCUUUUUUUAACCUCCUUUCACGGAGAAAAUGUGUUUGCCUUGA
Molecule: long non-coding RNA, 378 nt
Organism: Pipra filicauda (Wire-tailed manakin)
Lineage: Eukaryota; Metazoa; Chordata; Aves; Passeriformes; Pipridae
Exons: 4
Source: RefSeq, a predicted model, not a curated record